Gasterosteus aculeatus aculeatus (three-spined stickleback) is the source of this 3159-nucleotide long non-coding RNA. Lineage: Eukaryota; Metazoa; Chordata; Actinopteri; Perciformes; Gasterosteidae. The record is from Ensembl.
UAAUUUGUGACAAUAACGGCUGCACGGUGUGAUUUCUUUUAACUGACGCUGGUCUUCGGCGGGACGUCCUCACGGAGCUACUUGUUGAGGCGUGUUGAGAUUGAGCACAGCUGCCAACUCUCACGCCUUCGCCGGGUGGCACACGGCGUUGCAUGUUCUCACGCCACGCAUCCAAUCGUCACGCAAAGAGAGUCUGAUUGUGGCCCGAGAGCGUUGGUUCCUUUGGUGGAGCGCGUCACCCUACUGCUGCAUGGACGCGCUUCUCACAGCGGACGGCCUUACCAGCUGACUAGCAGGUUUCCUUUUCAUUUAAAAUGAAAAGUGUAUACAUAUAGAACGGAGCACCGGAUUAAAUUGAUUCAAAUAAUUAGGGUCAGAGUUGUUGUACAGUUGAAGGUUUGUGUUACAUCACACUGCAUCUGCUUCAUAGGAGGUUGUAUACAGUAACAACAAAGCGUUGAUAUUUUACUCAUUGGUUGGUGACUUAGGGGCCGAUAGUCAGAGUACAGUUAGAUGCACGUCACUAAUGAAAGAGAAAAUGUACCUGAAGCUCAUCUGUGUCUCUGCAUCAACCGAUUAACCUCACAGCAUUGGAUGUAUCCGACUAACACGCCUGGAGAACUCCGUCCGAUCCGGUGGAUAGUUCGACUACUGCGGCAUGCGGCGGUGGAUCGGAUGAGGAACUGGACUUGAGAUCCCGACGGCGUCUUCUCUCCGUUAUCAAAUCAGCCGAUAGCGCCAUUCGCACUCGCUGUGCUCCUGUUAGCAUCACGCACACAUAGUAGAGGGAUGUAGCUUCACCUCGCUCUCCGCUCGCCGUCUUUCUCCUAAUGUUGUUGUUGUUGUUGUUGUUGGUAGUGGUGAAGAGGUCAAGCGGAAAUGGCUGCACCACAACUCGUUGUAAUGAAAACAGCGCCACCUGUCGUAUUGGAUAUGACGUGCUUUCUGCCAAUGAUUGGAUUCAUUCACUGUCGUGUAUAUUAAGAUAAUAACACCUCCCCCCGAAAGAGAGCGUAGUCCCACUAAGCAAAGACUCCAGUUACACCAUCAUGUAGCGUGUGCUCCAUCUCCCGUCCACGCCGUCGGGCCCCCAUGGGUCCACCCAGAGUCCAUCCCUAUUCCCUGAUGUUGGAGCCACCACACAUGAAGGCCACGGACCAGGUCUCACUCCAGGGGGGUUCUGACAAAUUGGCACCUCUGCAUUGAGUCACGGUUAUAACUUUAUAACAGCAAUGAAUAACGCACAACACUAACCGGAUAAAACACCACAACAGCUGGUGACACAUAAACAAUUUGUGACACUAACCAGAAAGUUCUGCAGUCAUUGUCACAGUGUGGAUGUGCAUGAAAGGGCCCAGCAGGCGAGUGAAGACCAGCCACUGAGGCUAGCGAGCACACGACCCAUUGCCUCUGGCCGCUUGUCAGCAGUUGGGUCCUGUUGCUGCUAGCGCCACGUUAGCAUCACGCUAGCUCGAUAAAGCGAUGGCGUCACAGACCAGGUUACCGUCAGAGUCCUGGUGAGUCCACAGCGCACAGACCUACUAGAGCGCCACCAGGGAUUGGUCUUCAUUACCAACCGACCAACUAUGAGAACAAUUGAAGGUUUGUCACCGUUUCUCUAUAGAAAGUAUCAUCAUCAUCCUUCAUUUAGUCUUAUUUAUGUGUUGGUACAGACCGACAGCACUACGGUCUGAACCUACGGAUUCAUUCAUUCAGAAACGUUUCUUAUUUGGGGACAGAAGCCGACAUCCUUCUACAUUUAUGUCUUGCACAUGGUUAGCCUAGCUUAGCAUAAAUGCUAGGGGAAAACAGUGGUUAGCUGCACUGACGGAGAAGUGAAGGUGCUGCAGUGUCUUACACCUGCAUUCUCUCUAAACGCCACCGGGGGGCGUUCCUGUUACUGUAGACGACUAGAAACUGACAGCUUCUCUUCAUUUAUUCCCUCAGUGAACAUCGGUAACACGAGCUCAAGGUCUCAACAUUCUUCUUCAAUACAGCCUGGUCUUCAUUUAGUACACUUAGGGUCAAAUAGACCCCGCAGCAGGGCGGGGGUCCCUCACCCGCUAUCCAGACGUGGUCACUUCUGUUUACUGGCUGCUAAGAGGGCAACAGCCAAACUUGAGGCUCAGUACUGUCGUCCACAAACCACCAUAGCCCCUUUUCUUUGGGGUGGGUUCCAUGUAGCCCCUUUCCUGAUUCCUGAUAAGAUGGAGGGUUGCACUGCAAAGGUAACUUAAACAAAAACAGAUGGCUACUGCUUCUUGAUUAUUCCAUGGAGAUCCGCUCCAGCGCCUACGGGACCCUGUGCAGGCUGCACUGAGGGCCCUGCCUCCCAUUGAGCCAGCAGAGCUGCAGCUCGUAGUGUGCGUGUGUGUGUUUUAUGGUCCUGCGUGUCACUGCAGGUGGAUGAAAAAGGGUCAGACGCUGAGAUUGGAACGCUGUCCAAUCAGUCAGAGACAGACACACACACCUUAUUAACCAAGCUCAAGGACCACUGACCUGGCAAACCAUGUCACAGGGGGGACGGAUACCAACAUGAAUCAUAGGAAGGAGUCACAUGGUGACGUCCCAGAGCAAAAACAGGGACAGGAGGACAAGAGGACAGAGGACAGAGGACAGUGCGACGUAAGGCCACGACAAUGGAAACGCAGCUUUCCCUUCACGCGUGCAUUCAACCCAAAACAAACAUCCAGCUGCAGUGGGAGGGGCUCCACGGCAGCGGUUACGGGACGCGGUGGGAGGGGCCCCAGCCGGCCCGUCCCCCAUGUUUAUUCACCACUGCUCCGUUACAAAAGGUGAGAACCUAAGCUACCCAUACCGAACGUUUACCCAGAGGCCAGCGCGUGUUUCUGCGUCUACGUCGACGCCCUCGUCUCACUUCCUGGUUGUAAAGUCUUCGAUUCACCUCCAGAACAACAGGUGGAGUCACCUGUUUUGUUGAAGACGACCUAGAGCAGGGGUCUCAAACUCGCGGCCCGCGGGCCAAUUGCGGCCCUCGGGACGAUAUUUUGUGGCCCCAUCCUUAAUAUGAAAGUGUAAUGUUAGUGCGGCCCGCAAGUUUUAUACUGUAACCCCACUGUCAGCUGCUGUGUGUGAUGUUCUGGUUUCCUACUGUGUGCUUGUCCAGUGAACGUGGCAUGCAUGUGACUGACAUGGGGG